UACGGAGGGUGCAAGCGUUGCUCGGAAUCACUGGGCGUAAAGGGUGCGUAGGCGGGUCUUUAAGUCAGGGGUGAAAUCCUGGAGCUCAACUCCAGAACUGCCUUUGAUACUGAAGAUCUUGAGUUCGGGAGAGGUGAGUGGAACUGCGAGUGUAGAGGUGAAAUUCGUAGAUAUUCGCAAGAACACCAGUGGCGAAGGCGGCUCACUGGCCCGAUACUGACGCUGAGGCACGGAAGCGUGGGGAGCAAACAGG
Molecule: ribosomal RNA, 253 nt
Filed under: uncultured bacterium
Lineage: Bacteria
Description: partial 16S ribosomal RNA
Rfam family: Bacterial small subunit ribosomal RNA
Source: RNAcentral